CAUUAAGUAACUUAAAGCAAGUAUUGGUCUCUUAAACCAAACUAUAGUACCCAGCGAAUACUCUUAAUGA
Molecule: transfer RNA, 70 nt
Filed under: Orosius orientalis
Lineage: Eukaryota; Metazoa; Arthropoda; Insecta; Hemiptera; Cicadellidae
Description: tRNA-Lys
Source: RNAcentral